GGCAUGGGGGCAUGCUAAUACAUGCAAGUCGAGCGGACAGAUGGGAGCUUGCUCCCUGAUGUUAGCGGCGGACGGGUGAGUAACACGUGGGUAACCUGCCUGUAAGACUGGGAUAACUCCGGGAAACCGGGGCUAAUACCGGAUGGUUGUCUGAACCGCAUGGUUCAGACAUAAAAGGUGGCUUCGGCUACCACUUACAGAUGGACCCGCGGCGCAUUAGCUAGUUGGUGAGGUAACGGCUCACCAAGGCGACGAUGCGUAGCCGACCUGAGAGGGUGAUCGGCCACACUGGGACUGAGACACGGCCCAGACUCCUACGGGAGGCAGCAGUAGGGAAUCUUCCGCAAUGGACGAAAGUCUGACGGAGCAACGCCGCGUGAGUGAUGAAGGUUUUCGGAUCGUAAAGCUCUGUUGUUAGGGAAGAACAAGUGCCGUUCAAAUAGGGCGGCACCUUGACGGUACCUAACCAGAAAGCCACGGCUAACUACGUGCCAGCAGCCGCGGUAAUACGUAGGUGGCAAGCGUUGUCCGGAAUUAUUGGGCGUAAAGGGCUCGCAGGCGGUUUCUUAAGUCUGAUGUGAAAGCCCCCGGCUCAACCGGGGAGGGUCAUUGGAAACUGGGGAACUUGAGUGCAGAAGAGGAGAGUGGAAUUCCACGUGUAGCGGUGAAAUGCGUAGAGAUGUGGAGGAACACCAGUGGCGAAGGCGACUCUCUGGUCUGUAACUGACGCUGAGGAGCGAAAGCGUGGGGAGCGAACAGGAUUAGAUACCCCUGGUAGUCCACGCCGUAAACGAUGAGUGCUAAGUGUUAUGGGGUUUCCGCCCCUUAGUGCUGCAGCUAACGCAUUAAGCACUCCGCCUGGGGAGUACGGUCGCAAGACUGAAACUCAAGGGAAUUGACGGGGGCCCGCACAAGCGGUGGAGCAUGUGGUUUAAUUCGAAGCAACGCGAAGAACCUUACCAGUCUGACAUCCUCUGAACAAUUCUAAGAGAUAG
Molecule: ribosomal RNA, 995 nt
Filed under: Bacillus subtilis
Lineage: Bacteria; Bacillati; Bacillota; Bacilli; Caryophanales; Bacillaceae
Also listed under: 1 other name
Description: bacterial SSU rRNA
Rfam family: Bacterial small subunit ribosomal RNA
Source: RNAcentral